GACGAACGCUGGCGGCGUGCUUAACACAUGCAAGUCGAACGGUAAGGCCCUUCGGGGUACACGAGUGGCGAACGGGUGAGUAACACGUGGGUGAUCUGCCCUGCACUUCGGGAUAAGCCUGGGAAACCGGGCCUAAUACCGGAUAGGACCUCUGCUUACAUGGGUGGUGGUGGAAAGCUUUUGCGGUGUGGGAUGGGCCCGCGGCCUAUCAGCUUGUUGGUGGGGUGAUGGCCUACCCAGGCGACGACGGGUAGCCGGCCUGAGAGGGUGACCGGACACACUGGGACUGAGAUACGGCCCAGACUCCUACGGGAGGCAGCAGUGGGGAAUAUUGCACAAUGGGCGCAAGCCUGAUGCAGCGACGCCGCGUGAGGGAUGACGGUCUUCGGGUUGUAAACCUCUUUCAGCACCGACGAAGCGCAAGUGACGGUAGGUGCAGAAGAAGGACCGGCCAACUACGUGCCAGCAGCCGCGGUAC
This 478-nucleotide ribosomal RNA is filed under the name uncultured bacterium. Its description in RNAcentral is "partial 16S ribosomal RNA". It matches the Rfam family "Bacterial small subunit ribosomal RNA", at positions 28 to 523 of the family's 1533-position model. The record is from RNAcentral.